AUACGUAGGGAGCGAGCGUUGUCCGGAAUUACUGGGCGUAAAGGGCGCGUAGGCGGAGAUUCAAGCGGAUUGUACAAUCCCGGGGCCCAACCCCGGCUCUGCAGUCCGAACUGGAUCUCUUGGAUAGUUCAGGGGCAGGCGGAAUUCCUGGUGUAGCGGUGGAAUGCGUAGAGAUCAGGAAGAACACCGAUGGCUAAGGCAGCCUGCUGGGGACUUAUCGACGCUGAGGCUCGAAAGUGCGGGUAGCAAACAGGAUUAGAUACCCUGGUAGUCCGCACCGUAAACGAUGCAUACUGGGUGUCCGGGGGUUCCCCCGGGUACCGUAGCCAACGCGUUAAGUAUGCCGCCUGGGGAGUACGUACGCAAGUAUGAAACUCAAAGGAAUUGACGAGC
RNAcentral lists this ribosomal RNA (393 nucleotides) under uncultured bacterium. Its description in RNAcentral is "partial 16S ribosomal RNA". It matches the Rfam family "Bacterial small subunit ribosomal RNA", at positions 523 to 918 of the family's 1533-position model. The record is from RNAcentral.